This 65-nucleotide transfer RNA is filed under the name Idioscopus sp. 'myrica'. RNAcentral's name for it is "tRNA-Leu". The record is from RNAcentral. Lineage: Eukaryota; Metazoa; Arthropoda; Insecta; Hemiptera; Cicadellidae.
UCUAAUAUGGCAGAUUAGUGCAAUGAAUUUAAGAUUCAUAUAUAAAUAUAUAUAUUUUUUUAGAA